Molecule: ribosomal RNA, 509 nt
Filed under: uncultured bacterium
Lineage: Bacteria
Description: bacterial SSU rRNA
Rfam family: Bacterial small subunit ribosomal RNA
Source: RNAcentral
CUGGCGGCGUGCCUAAUACAUGCAAGUCGAACGGUCUUUCUAUGGAAGCUUGCUUCACUGAGAAGAUAGUGGCGGACGGGUGAGUAACACGUGGGUAACCUGCCCAUAAGAGGGGGGAUAACAUCCGGAAACGGGUGCUAAUACCGCAUAGUUUUCUUGAUCGCAUGAUCGGGAAAGGAAAGACGGCCUUUGUGCUGUCGCUUAUGGAUGGACCCGCGGCGUAUUAGUUAGUUGGUGAGGUAACGGCUCACCAAGACGAUGAUACGUAGCCGACCUGAGAGGGUGAUCGGCCACAUUGGGACUGAGACACGGCCCAAACUCCUACGGGAGGCAGCAGUAGGGAAUCUUCCGCAAUGGACGAAAGUCUGACGGAGCAACGCCGCGUGAGUGAAGAAAGGUUUUCGGAUCGUAAAACUCUGUUGUCAGAGAAGAACAAGUUGGAGAGUAACUGCUCCAGCCUUGACGGUAUCUGACCAGAAAGCCACGGCUAACUACGUGCCAGCCGCCGC